GAUGAAGAACGCAGCGAAAUGCGAUAGGUAAUGUGAAUUGCAAAAUUCAGUGAAUCAUCGAAUCUUUGAACGCACAUUGCGCCCUUUGGUAUUCCUUAGGGCAUGCCUGUUCGAGCGUCACUACACACCUUAUCACAAUAUUUGUAGUCUUGGCAGGAGUGAAUUGCUGGUCUAUGGAAGUAUUCCAGCAGUACACAAUGCUAAAAAAUAUGGGAAGGUUACCAGAUAUGAACAACAGACUUUGUAAAUGGUUGUAGGACCUAGAUCAGUCACAAGUCAUGUCUGGUCCCUUACCUUAAGGACCCCCAUCCUAGAUGAACUAUGGGUUGACCUCGGAUCAGGUAGGAAUACCCGCUGAACUUAAGCAUAUCAAUAAGCGGAGGA
This 384-nucleotide unclassified non-coding RNA is filed under the name soil metagenome. RNAcentral describes it as "partial contains 5.8S ribosomal RNA, internal transcribed spacer 2, and large subunit ribosomal RNA". The stretch from base 1 to 120 matches the Rfam family "5.8S ribosomal RNA", at positions 35 to 154 of the family's 154-position model. The record is from RNAcentral.